CAGCUUAUGACACUCCCUCCCUCAGGGUUUAGUGAAGUAUCUGACAGUGAAAAUGUCUCAGUAAGAAGAGGAAGCAUCAUGAAGAGGCUAGCAGGCGCUGUGCUGGGGCUUUUAUUUGCCCAGGUUUGCUCUGUGCGAGGGGUGGAUGUGGAGCAGAGUCCCGCAGCCCUGAGUCUCCAGGAGGGAGCCAGCCACGUGCUGAGGUGUAAUUUUUCUGCCUCUGUGACCGAUGUACACUGGUAUCUUCAGAACCCUGGGGGCCGCAUCGUCCACCUGUUUUACAUUCCUUCAGGAACAAAGCAGGAAGGAAGAUUAAACGCCACAACAAUCCGUAAAGAACGCCGCAGCUCACUGCACAUUUCCUCUUCGCGGACCACAGACGCGGGCACUUACUUCUGCGCUGCGCAGCACGGUGCUCCCCAGGCACCUGCGGCCUCUACAGGAACCCUCCCGAGGCCUCAGCCCCUCCUGCAGCCUCAGUCACACCGUGGGCCCCACAGGGCAUUCGCAGUGCUGACUGUCUCUUACCUGCACUGGUACAGUUUAAUCACAGACACUUUCCGCCUACAGAUUGUGAACUUCGGUCUUUGUCUUCCUUUCUCAACCUGUAUCUCCUUCUGCACUAGAGACUUCUAACUUGGAACUAGCAGAAUAGCUGAUAAGGGGACAAAAUAAAAUAAAUAUUCAACCACAGUAUGCUGAUCUCAAAAGUGGUAAAAAGUGAGAACAAUUCAGAGAAAAAAAUAACUCCAAUAAAGUUGUUAUCCUGAUUAGUUUGAUGUCUCAAGAAUGUUCAGAUCUGCCUCACCAGAAUGUGUCCCCAAAGACACUUGCAUCAUCCCAUCCUACGAGUGCAGCAAAGUGAGCAACAACAAUAAACCUUACUCAAUGUUUAAUAUGAGCUUGAUAACUUAGAAGAAAAUUAUUCUAAAUGCAAGAAAUCUUAAAUCUAUUUCCAUAGUCAAGGUCUUGGAAGAGUUGAUUGCUUCUUGAGAUCUAAGGAAUAAUCCAUUUCCUUGCCUUCUUUAGCUUUUGAAGGCCAACUAAAUUCUUUGGUUCGUGACUCCUUCUUGAAUCACUAGAACUUCUUGCUUCCCUCACCGUAGCUCCUUCCUCUUUUGGAGUCAAAUAUCUUUCUGUCUCUGUCCUAUAAGGUAUAAAAAAUAUUAAACAGAAAUCUCAGUUAAAUAGAGUUGGGAGACAGAGGGAGCUCUCGUGACCUGUGGACAUAGUGGAGGGCAAGGGGAAGAUGUGGAUGCCUCUU
Molecule: non-coding RNA, 1264 nt
Organism: Cervus elaphus (red deer)
Lineage: Eukaryota; Metazoa; Chordata; Mammalia; Artiodactyla; Cervidae
Source: the annotation of a RefSeq genome assembly